CCCUCGAUGGUGUAGUUGGUAUCACAACAGGCUGUAAUAGUCUUUAGAAGCUCAAACUUCUAAUUAAUCGUAACCUGCAGGUCACCAGUUCGAAUCUGGUUCGAGGGA
RNAcentral lists this transfer RNA (108 nucleotides) under Orbilia oligospora ATCC 24927. RNAcentral describes it as "Arthrobotrys oligospora ATCC 24927 tRNA". It matches the Rfam family "tRNA". Rfam says of the family: Transfer RNA (tRNA) molecules are approximately 80 nucleotides in length. Lineage: Eukaryota; Fungi; Ascomycota; Orbiliomycetes; Orbiliales; Orbiliaceae. The record is from Rfam by way of RNAcentral.